RNAcentral lists this non-coding RNA (68 nucleotides) under unclassified sequences. Its description in RNAcentral is "RAGATH-18 RNA". It matches the Rfam family "RAGATH-18 RNA". From Rfam's summary of the family: Actinobacteria, Firmicutes, Fusobacteria, Thermotogae (1 example). The record is from Rfam by way of RNAcentral.
CCUGUGGAAUGUUAUAGCAAACGAGAGUAGCGAGCAAGUGGCAAAAUCGGAACACGUAGAAACAGGAA